This 395-nucleotide long non-coding RNA is filed under the name Homo sapiens (human). RNAcentral describes it as "HSALNT0254161". The record is from RNAcentral. Lineage: Eukaryota; Metazoa; Chordata; Mammalia; Primates; Hominidae.
GAGAUCGAGACCAUCCUGGCCAACACGGUGAAAUCCCGUUUCUACUAAAAAUACAAAAAAUUAGCCCACGCCCGCAGUCCCAGCUACUCGGGAGGCUGAGGCAGGAGAAUGGCGUGAACCCGGGAGGCAGAGCUUGCAGUGGGCAGAGAUUGCGCCACUGCACUCCAGCCUGGGCAACAGAGCAAGACUCUGUCUCAAAAAAAUUAAUUAAUUAAUUAAUAAACAAUACAAAAAGAAAAAGUAGCCAGGUGAGAUGGUGUAUGCCUGUAAACCUAGCUUUUUGGGAGGCUGAGGUGGAAGGAUUGUUUGAACCUGGGAGGUGGAGGUUGCAGUGAGCUGAGAUUGCGCCACUGCACACUCCAGCCUGGGUGACAGAGGGAGACUCAGUCUCAAAA